CCUACGGGAGGCUGCAGUGAGGAAUAUUGGUCAAUGGUCGGGAGACUGAACCAGCCAAGCCGCGUGAGGGAGGAAGGUACAGAGUAUCGUAAACCUCUUUUGUCAGGGAACAAAGACUGGGACGCGUCCCCGGAUGAGGGUACCUGAAGAAAAAGCAUCGGCAAACUCCGUGCCAGCAGCCGCGGUAAUACGGAGGAUGCGGUCGUUAUCCGGAUUUAUGGGGUUUAAAGGGUGUGCAGGCGGUCUGUUAAGUCAGCGGUCAAAGCCCGGGGCUCAACCCCGGCCCGCCGUUGAAACUGGCAGUCUCGAGUUGGAGAGAAGUAUGCGGAAUGCGCGGUGUAGCGGUGAAAUGCAUAGAUAUCGCGCAGAACUCCGAUUGCGAAGGCAGCAUGCCGGCUCCACACUGACGCUGAGGCACGAAAGCGUGGGUAUCGAACAGGAUUAGAUACCCCAGUAGUC
This 459-nucleotide ribosomal RNA is filed under the name uncultured bacterium. RNAcentral's name for it is "partial 16S ribosomal RNA". It matches the Rfam family "Bacterial small subunit ribosomal RNA", at positions 338 to 795 of the family's 1533-position model. The record is from RNAcentral.